This 77-nucleotide transfer RNA is filed under the name Candidatus Thioglobus sp. RNAcentral's name for it is "tRNA-Arg". It matches the Rfam family "tRNA". From Rfam's summary of the family: Transfer RNA (tRNA) molecules are approximately 80 nucleotides in length. Their secondary structure includes four short double-helical elements and three loops (D, anti-codon, and T loops). RNAcentral also lists the same sequence under 1 other name. Lineage: Bacteria; Pseudomonadati; Pseudomonadota; Gammaproteobacteria; Pseudothioglobaceae (SeqCode). The record is from RNAcentral.
GCGCCCGUAGCUCAGCUGGAUAGAGUGACGCCCUCCGAAGGCGUAGGUCGGACGUUCGAAUCGUCUCGGGCGCGCCA